RNAcentral lists this ribosomal RNA (481 nucleotides) under uncultured bacterium. RNAcentral's name for it is "bacterial SSU rRNA". It matches the Rfam family "Bacterial small subunit ribosomal RNA", at positions 29 to 507 of the family's 1533-position model. The record is from RNAcentral.
AAUAAACGCUGGCGGCGUGCUUAACACAUGCAAGUCGAGCGAGAAAGCUCCUUCGGGAGUGAGUACAGCGGCGGACGGGUGAGUAAUACACAAGAAUCUACCCUUCAGUGAAGAAUACCCUCAAGAAAUUGAGGUUAAUGCUGCAUACGUCCCUUCGGGGAGAAAGACGGCCUCUUUGCUGUCGCUGAUGGAUGAGCUUGUGCGCUAUUAGCUUGUUGGUGAGGUAAAGGCUCACCAAGGCGAUGAUGGCUAGCCGGCCUGAGAGGGUGUACGGCCACACUGGAACUUAGACACGGUCCAGACUCCUACGGGAGGCAGCAGUGAGGAAUAUUGCGCAAUGGGCGAAAGCCUGACGCAGCGACGCCGCGUGAAGGAUGAAGGCCUUAGGGUCGUAAACUUCUGUUAAGUGGGAAGAAAAGCCAAGCUCUAAUACAGCUUGGUAAUGACGGUACCACUAGAGAAAGCACCGGCUAACUUCGUG